GCUAAAUUUAGAAAGCAUGUUUAUUUUUCGCCAGCAUCUGGUCUUAAGACGUCCCGUUCUCGAUCACAACUCAAGACAACGUGCAGGGUCGGAUCUCAGCCCUCCCGGCUCCUGCUUCCCACACACAGAGCCCGAGUCUGGGGCAGCCCUGGGCCGACCUGGCCAGCACUGGCAUGGGUGGUAGCCAGGCGUCUCCCAAGGGCACAGGAGGAGGGCUGGGUGACCUGGCCCCCAGCCAGGCAGGGCAGAUCCACCUGCCCCAAGACCCCCGGACACUGGCUGUGCCCAGGUGGUGCCGACCAGGGGAGGGUGGGCAUGCUGGGAGCGCCGUCUGCCGCGGACCGAAGGUCUUUACAGGCACUGCCGGCCCUUAAGAAUCAUUGAUUCCCGAUACCACUUUUUCUCUGAGUGGGGAAUGGAGGUGCAGAGAGAGGAAGGCAGCUGCCCAAGGUCCCCGGAGACCAGGUAUCCUGCCCCCAUGGGCCUCUCUCAUCAGCGGAGGUGGGUGUCUCCAUCUAGGUGUGAGCUGGGUCAGGGCUGAGAGACAUGGCCAUCUGUAAGGCCAGCCUGGACCCCUGGGCAGGGCAGCCCACAUCUGGACAAGUGAGGUGGAAAUGCUUGAUGCCCUGUGAACAUGUCAAGUGCCCCAGCUGCCCCAGGGCCAACCCACUGGGGCCCUCAAGGCCUGGGACCUGCAGUGGAGAUGCCCAUGGGAUAGGGAAGGGUGGGAGGCUGGCAGGAGGUGGUGGGCUGCUCCCAGCCUGAAUGGUCCAAGGCCAGCUGGGGCGAAGAUAGUCGUCUGGGUCCUGCAGUCAGCAGCCACGGCACGCAAUCAAAUGGAUGUGGUGGCCAGUGGGCCAGGGAGGAGGUGGGGCUGGUGGUGGGGUUCAGGGCUCAGAGAGGGGCUGGGCAGGGGUCUCACCUGGCCAAGCGAGGGGUGGCCGGAGGUGCCCCCUCCUGGGCCCCAGGGAGGGGCGGGAUGGGGUGGAGGAGCACGGCCCCCUCUCCAUCCUCCCUGUGGGCACCUCAACCCCCCACCAGCAUCCCAGCACGCCUCCUCACAGAACACAGGGCCAUGUCUGCUAGGCUCAUUGUUCGUUCAUUCACUCAUUCCUUCACUCGCUCCUUCAUUCCUGUAACCGUUCACAAACACUCGGCACACCCCCAGGGCGCCUGGUUAGGUGGCUGGGAAUUCAGUGUGACCCCAGCCCAAGACCCCUACCCUAGAAGAGGCCUCCACCCGCUGUCCAGCAUGAGACAAGCACCAAACCAAGUCGCCUGUGGUUUACAAAAACUGUCACAGCUGACACUGGGCGGGCUCCUGGAGGGGGCACAGCAGGAGGGGUCCUCAGAUCGGGGCGGGGGGGGGGGCUGAGUUCUGCUCGGUGGGCGUGCGCUUAGCAGAGGGAGAGGGGCUGGGGGAAAGGGAGGCAGGGCCAGGGGCCAGAUCACAGAGGGCCUUAGAGACAAAAGUGGGGAGGUAUUCACGGGUCAGGUCCAGAAGAUCAUUGAGAUAGAUGGGGCAGGGUGAGGGAGGGGGCACUACUUCGGGAAGCUGCAGGCUGGCUGCAGGACACAAAUGUGGUUCAGACAGGCGAGGCCCAUUUUCUCCAUAGAGAUGGAGAAAAGUGGGGGGAACCUGAGAUGCUGAGGAGCAGGAUUUGGGCUCCAGACCAUGGGGGAGGGGGUGCUUUUUGCUCAGACAGGGAGGCUGGCGAGGGUGGGGGGGUCUGAAGUACAGUUUCGAAUGUGAUGCAUUUGAGAUUCAGGCAGAGUGGUCCAGCUGGCCGUGGGUGGUGCCAGGCAAGCUUGGGCAAGAGUGAGGGCUGGAUAUCACGAUGGAGAUGACCCCCCAGGGUGGGAGUGGACCUCCCGUCUCUGGAGCAGGUGACCACUCUCAGAGAAGUAGGGCCCCGAGCGGGUUAGAGUGAUGCCUUGCUGCUGCCCAAGCCCACCCCCGAGGCCAGCUGGAAAGAAAACAGACCCCAGAGACCCCCAUCCCAGGGGCCAGGUCUGGGCUCACUGCUCCCUCCCCUGCCUGCCCUUGGCACAGAGCCCUGUGCCAGCAUACAUUGAGUGCCAGCUGUGUACCAGCUGCCCUGCCCGGUGGGAAGGCCAGAGGCUCUAAACUCCAGGGUGGUCCUCCAGCAGAACCCUGCGGAAGGGCCCGAGCUAGACUUCUUGCCCCUUCGCCCACUCCCCACCCAAGGUGUGUCCUGCCUGGCCCCGCUGCCUUCCUCAUCUGCCAGGCUUCAGGAGAGGCUGCGCCUGGAGGCUGCCCUGCGCCCCAGUCCUCAGGGGCAGAGCAGUAGGGAACCAGAAAUAGCUGGGCCCUCGGGCCACACCUGCCAGCCCGGACGGCACAGCCACCCUAGUCAGCCUCUUCAGUUCUCCCAAGCAGCUCAGGAGCUGCUGCCCCCAGGAGGAAUGGAGGGAGGAGGGGCCCUCACAUUUCCUGGCAAAGGAAAAGAGACACUGAGAGCCCAGUACCCCAACACUGGACAGAGCAGGAGCCCCUCCAAGGGUCGGGGUCAUGCCAGGCUGGGCCUGGGCCUCCUGCAGCCCUGGACCUGGCCCCAAAGGACCCCAGAAAUGCAGCCUUCGACCUCGAAUCACAGCUGGGGCCAGGUGCAGAGCCACCUUGCACUCAGCCCCAUGGGCAAGGGAGCGGCUGCUCCCACUGCCGCCCUCCCCACGCACAGGGAGGUCCUGCCGCCCACAGCAGGGAGGCUCACGGGGCUGCAGACUGCCACCUGCCACCUCCACCACCUCCCGCCUUACAAACACCCAUCCACCCGCCAGCCUCGGGGAGACCCAAAACAGCUUCUGCUGAGCUCGGUGCCACCAAGGUGUCCAGAGAGCCAGCCCCCAGCACUGAUCAGCCCAGAGGGGUCCCAGGCCCAGGACAUCAGGCCCCAUGCUCCCCUGGCCUCACUGAGGCAACACCCCAAGGCCAGGUCUCCUCCCUACAGGAAGCAGCACCCAGCCCUUGCAGCGCCCACCCAGCCUUGGCUGUGCACCGGCCGCAGACAACCUACAGACCUCAUCCCAGCUCCCUUCUCCCUGAUGGGUGCCCAGUGGCCCGCACCCCCUUCUCAGGCCAAACCCUGGGCUUCCCGCUCCCCUGCAGACUGAGCAGGAUGGUCUGGGGUCUGUCUGCCUCCCCAUCUGCCAGGAAAGCCAGGUCUCUGUCCUGGGGCCCAGCACAGCUCUGGUGCAUGCCAGGCUCAUGGUCCUUGGGGAGUUGCGAGCUGGAAGCCCCACACUUCUCAGAAUAAACCUCCCCUGUGUGGCGAGCCUUGGGCCGUGGGGAAAACACUACGUCUGGGACCCCCUCCCGUGGAGGCUUAGGCCUCCCUGUUGGUCCAGGCACAGCGUCGAUGGCCAAGGACAUAAACGACUCACGGCUUUGUCCACAUGGCCUGCCUGGGAUCCACAGCCACACAGAGUGUCAGUGCACGUGGCACCAAGGCAAGGGGCUGCUGGGUCCCAGAGUGGGGACACAAUCAGCCAGGGAAACCCAGUGGCCUGCUGUGUCUCUACCUGCUUGGGAGGGGCAUUUCCUGGAAGAGAGACCCUCACCAGGCUCCACCAAGACUGGAGAUUCAAACUGGCCGACUGACCUUCUGGGUCCCCUGACGGAACUGUGUCUAAACCGAGUCAAUAGGCUGAGAGUGAGCAGCAGAGGGGAGCUGUGGGCUCACAGGACUAGGACUCAUUCACUUCUCGUUUCUCUACUGGAGGCAGGGCUCAAUUUUGCUUUCCAAAACCAGGCUGCAGUCUGGACAAUGGAGAACAAGGACCCUCUGGAUGAGGAGAGCUCGGCCCUGCCCAGAGGCCCCCAGGGGUGCCCAGGGAAUGAAGGAUCCCAAAGCUGCCACUGUCCAGGGAGCUGUGGCCACUUUUCCCAGUCGUAGAUUGGCCUGAAGGUGAGUCCAUGCGUCCUGCCUCCUCCAGAAAAGCCUCUGACCCUGUGCCAGACAAGCGCCGGCUCUGGAAAGGCAGCAGCGAAAACCACGGCGCCCUGUCCUCUGGCACAGGCUCCCAGACCCCUCCUCUGGCUGCUCAGCAGGAAGCUGAAGGCGGGAGCUUCAAAGAACUCUGCGCGGUCAGAAAGAGUCACUUGCAAGGAAGCAGCCGGAGGCUGAGGUGCGUGCGCAGGAGUCUGCCUGCAACACGAUUUACAAUGGCCAAUGCUCAGAAGUUUCCCAGACGCUCGGUGAUGGCUGCGGUGUCGCAUCCCACAUCCGGGAACAUGAGGCCGCCAUUAAACGUCAGGCUCCAGAAGAAAAUUCGAAGGACAGGAGGGAACUGUGGUGAAUCCAAGCCCCCAGGGGUGGGCUUCUGGUGGAGGGAGCAGGACAGCGAUGAGGUGGGAGGGGCCGGGCAGCGGGCCCUGGAGCACACAGAGCUCGAAGGUGCAGGUGACGAAGGCGGAUCUCAUUUCCUCUUCAUGCUUUUUCUGUAUUUUCCAAAGCAUCUCCUCCCUGAAAGUCUUGCUUUCACAGUCAGGAAAAAAGAAAUACCAGCGAGACUGCCACUGCCACGGAGCAGGUGUGAUGUCCCAGGGGAAGUGGUGGAUCUGAACACACUUUAAAGUGGGAAAGCCCCCGGGGUCCACCAGGCUGUGUGAACACACUCUGGCUCCCUCCCCCAGCCUCAUGGCCCAGAGACUGUAGCCUCCAUGGCCCCUCCAGCCCCAGCUCAAUAAGGACACAGACCCAUUCGUGCACUCCAGCCAGCCCAGAGCAUGAAGGCCAAGGCCUCAUUCUCCCCAGCCUUUUUGGGGGCAGGAGGGCACUGGCCAGGGUGUCCGAGCCAGCCUGCACCUUGGCUCCAAGCCCAGCUGUGCCUCAGCAGCCCCUGGCCAAGCAACAUCCUGGCUGCCAGCCCUGUCCACCCAGAGAGUACCAGGGAGGAUUUGCCGGCUCUCAGAGGCCCAGAGACCCAGGUGGGCGGCUGCUGCAGCUCCAUGAGAUGAGCAGCUCCAGGUGCACACACACUGUCCACCCUGCUGAGACCUUCCCACCUCUGAUACCUCAGGCAGUCGGGUCCAGCACUGUGUCCUGCCUACCCGGCAACCUCCUGGUCCCCUUGGUGAUUCUCCCCGAGCUGGGCCCCCUCCCCACCAACGAAGUGGAAAUCCUGCUGUGUGAGCUUGAGUUAGUGACUGAAUGUCUCUGAGCAUUGCUGUGCUGCUCUAUUGGCACCUUAGCACACAGUUGGCUGGGCUGGGAUCCAGGCUGAGUGGGGCACAGUGACAGGUGGGCCCUACUCAGCAUCACUGGCUCGGGAUCGUGGGUGGGGCUGUGGGGAUGGGGCAGCCCAAACCAGCCUCCCCACCUGUGAGCUCACUGAGCCGGCUGGCCACUGUGGGGGUGGCUGGACCAAGUUCUCCUGGCGUUGCAAAGCUCCAGUUCCUCCCAGGUGGAGACAUGGCCCCUUCCUCAGAGAACGUGAGCAGGUGGGUAGGGAGCCACACGCAGCCCAGCCAUGGGCCCCAGUGGGUAAGGGCUGGGGCGGCUCCCCCUGAGUUCUCCCCCUCAAUCCAUCUGUGCCCUGGGAGGAAAAAGGAGGCCACUGCUUGGAGCCCCCAAAAGAGAAAGGAGCUGCCACCACCACAGCCCCCACCCCACCUGACCUGUAGGAACUGCCUCUCUCAGGGGCAGCCAGGGGGCUCAGUGACCCAGCAGCCUCCACGAAAGCCCCCGGAGACAGCAGGCACCCCUGGAGAGCCCCCGGCACCAGGCCUGCCUCCACCACCCCAGCUCCUGCCGAGGGGCCCUCUGGAGUUCUCCUUUUGGUGCAUACCUCCUGGGGCCGCGGACACUCCUGAUGCCCCAGGGCCCCUGCCCCAGCUAUGACCCUUCCCAUCUGGCAUCCAUGACCCCAGCAGCAUCACAAGGCAGGCCACUUACAGAGCCCCAUGGGUGCACUGUCAGGACCAGGGAGGGGCCCAGGGUGUGGCAGGCCAGGUGCUACACCCCAAUGCUGCAAGUGCGGCUCGAAGCCCAAGUGCCUGGCACUCCCCCCCCUCCGGCUCCAGCCGGCACCUGGUCAGGGGGCCAGCCCCAGCCCUCCAGCCCCUCCCACAUCAGCCUCAUCUCCAUCACAUCAGAAGCAGCUCUUUCGCAUUCUCUCCCAUCCUCUAGCCUGUGGAAUGGGAUUAAGUAGCUGUAAAUGAAAUCCUGUUACCACGGAUACAUGAGGACUGGGGAGAGCUGAGUCAGGGUCCUGAGAGUUGCUACGUCUGCCAAGGAGGAGCCAGAGGAACCCUCUGCCCCACACACACACGGGCAGCCAGAGGCAGAGCUGCCGCUCAGCAGAGGGCCCAGCAAACCUGAAACCACGCUUCCUGGGGUCUUCCACCAGCUGGAUAGACCCCAGAAGCCCCUUCACAUCAGGAGACCCCUGACCUUCUGACCGUGCCCAGGUGCCAGGCCCAACCACACAUCUGAGAAGAAAACAUUCCUGAGAUGCAGGGAAGCCGCAAGUAUUGCCACCAAUAGGCCACUGGACAUCGAGAAGUGGCACCUAGAGGUCCAGACCCAGAGAUGACAAGCACCUCUCCAGGAUGCACAGCCCAGCAAUCACAAGACCCACUGACGAUCCCUGAGUCAGCCCAGGGUUCCCAUGGGUCUGAGCCAGCUGGACAGAACUGGAGGGGGAGCUGCAGCCCCAAAGCUAUCUUCCUAAUAAGUCUGUUUGUUCUGCCUCCCCUUGAACUGGGGCAGGCGCACGCCGACCAGCCCACAGCAGAGCCCCUGUUCUGGAGAAGCUGGCAGAGGCCCUUCUCCCAGGUGGGACCAGGGCAUCACACUCGACGGGGAAAUGAACCCAGAACCACAUGGCUGUCUGCCCGGAGGCCUCACUCACCCACAGGCAGAAUGUUGAUGCUCAGGAAAGGUGGUCCACUCUCCAGGUCAGGCCCUGGGUCCUCGGGCGAGGGAGCCAUCAGGGAGGGAUCGAAGGCUCUCGGCGGUGGCAGCAGCAGCUUGAUGAAGUUCAAAGGAACCGUCUUAAGAAACUGCUAGCCCCUUCUGCUGUGAUGGUGCUGGAGGCACCCGCCAGCCCUGGGCUACACUGCCCCAGGGGCCACAGGAGGAGCCUAUGGCACAGUGGGUGACCCUCAGCCCUUUCUCCAGCCCUCAGGUCCCACUGUGCUGUCACUCCCAGGUCCGCGGUCUCGGGCCCUCCAACCACCACUUGGUUUGUGCAGUGAAUCGAGGCCACUUUGGCCUCCCAGGCUGCCGUCUGCCCCUUGGCCACUUGGCUGGGCUCCAAGCCCCUCACUCUCCCCACCCCCCAAGAGGGCCCCAGGCUCCACCCGGCCUCCUUGUGGCCCCACCGGAGGCUCAGUCCCAGCCUGGCCUCUGCUCAGGCUCCUCUCCUGCUUGGAACCCUCCUCUCCACCUCCUUGUAUCCAUCCAACUCCUCCUUGCUCCCCCAGGCCAGCUCCUUCCAGAGACUUCCUUGGUACUGGCUCCCUCCUCUGAGCCUCCUUCCUGGGGGCCACAGAGAGACUGCAGAGGCCGGGGUGGGAGGCUUUAGCUGCUGGGCUCUGGAGCCCUCUGACAUGCCCAAGACAGAGCUCAAGACAGAGCUCCCAGGGCCUGGGCCUCGAUGGACACUGGGCCACGGGCACACCCUGAGCCGGCUCUGCCCAGGUAGGAAGAAUGCACGGCCAGGGGUGGGAAGGCUCAGGCUCCUGGUGGCACCUCCUCUCCCAAGGGCUCCUUGGAGUAGCCCCACCUCACAUCUCUCCUCAAGCCCAGGCCUUUCUGGCUCCCUCCAGUCCCCAGGAAGGAGGGCCCCUAGGUGGUCCGUCCCUCCCUCACUCUGAUACCCUUCAGCCCCCGGGCCCUCCACCUGGCCCAUC
This 7879-nucleotide long non-coding RNA is filed under the name Equus caballus (horse). Its description in RNAcentral is "lncRNA (ENSECAG00000045585.1)". The record is from RNAcentral. Lineage: Eukaryota; Metazoa; Chordata; Mammalia; Perissodactyla; Equidae.